GAUGAGCCUGCGGACCAUUAGCUAGUUGGCAGUGUAAUAGACUACCAAGGCUACGAUGGAUAGCCGGCCUGAGAGGGUGUACGGCCACACUGGGACUGAGACACGGCCCAGACUCCUACGGGAGGCAGCAGCUAAGAAUCUUCCGCAAUGGGCGAAAGCCUGACGGAGCGACGCCGCGUGGAUGAUGAAGGCCGAAAGGUUGUAAAAUCCUUUUCUUGGGGAAGAAUAACGAUUGGAGUGGAAUGCCAGUCGGAUGACAUUAACCAGGGAAUAAGCCCCGGCCAAUUACGUGCCAGCAGCCGCGGUAAUACGUAUGGGGCGAGCGUUGUUCGGAAUUAUUGGGCGUAAAGGGCGUGUAGGCGGUUUCGUAAGCUUGGCGUGAAAUACCUUGGCUUAACCAAGGGGACGCGCUGGGAACUGCGAGACUAGAGUUCAGGAGGGGAAGCUGGAAUUCCAGGUGUAGGGGUGAAAUCUGUAGAUAUCUGGAAGAACACCAAAGGCGAAGGCAAGCUUCUGGACAUGGACUGACGCUGAGGCGCGAAAGCGUGGGGAGCAAAUAGGAUUAGAU
This 568-nucleotide ribosomal RNA is filed under the name uncultured bacterium. RNAcentral describes it as "bacterial SSU rRNA". It matches the Rfam family "Bacterial small subunit ribosomal RNA", at positions 224 to 783 of the family's 1533-position model. The record is from RNAcentral.